GUGAGACAGUUCGGUCCCUAUCUGUUGUGGGCGUAAGAAGCUUGAGAGGACCUGACCUUAGUACGAGAGGACCGGGUUGGACUGACCGCUGGUGUACCAGUUGUAUCGCCAGAUGCACUGCUGGGUAGCUACGUCGGGAUGAGAUAAGCGCUGAAAGCAUCUAAGUGCGAAACUCACCUCAAGAUGAGGCUUCUAUAAAGGGACGUUGUAGAUGACGACGUUGAUAGGCUGCAGGUGUAAAGGCAGAGAUGUCAAAGCUGAGCAGUACUAAUUACCCAGUUG
Molecule: ribosomal RNA, 282 nt
Filed under: Goniomonas pacifica
Lineage: Eukaryota; Cryptophyceae; Goniomonadida; Goniomonadaceae
Description: partial Bacterial large subunit ribosomal RNA
Rfam family: Bacterial large subunit ribosomal RNA
Source: RNAcentral